Molecule: unclassified non-coding RNA, 331 nt
Filed under: fungal sp.
Lineage: Eukaryota; Fungi
Also listed under: 1 other name
Description: partial internal transcribed spacer region
Rfam family: Eukaryotic small subunit ribosomal RNA (bases 1-46)
Source: RNAcentral
AAGUCGUAACAAGGUAACCGUAGGUGAACCUGCGGUUGGAUCAUUACAGAGAGAAACAGGAUUCUGCUGUUACUGCUGUAGUCCUGUGCCGAAUGCUCAGUGCAUGUGGCGCAACACCUUUUGUGAACUGUUUUUGUCCCUGGCAGUGGGGUGGGGGAGGGUGCACACCCUUCCGUGCCUGUCAGCCCAGGACCCGUCCGGGUUCUCGGCCGUGGACAAGCUGCCAACCGUGUAUGCGGAACACCUUUUCUGUUAACCUGCUGGCUGACAACGAUGAACCAUUCCAACAAAAUGAUUCAAACAACUUUUGGCAACGGAUCUCUUGGCUCUC